Molecule: ribosomal RNA, 482 nt
Filed under: uncultured bacterium
Lineage: Bacteria
Description: partial 16S ribosomal RNA
Rfam family: Bacterial small subunit ribosomal RNA
Source: RNAcentral
AUUGAACGCUGGCGGCAGGCCUAACACAUGCAAGUCGAGCGGAUGAAGGGAGCUUGCUCCUGGAUUCAGCGGCGGACGGGUGAGUAAUGCCUAGGAAUCUGCCUGGUAGUGGGGAUAACGUCCGGAAACGGGCGCUAAUACCGCAUACGUCCUGAGGGAGAAAGUGGGGGAUCUUCGGACCUCACGCUAUCAGAUGAGCCUAGGUCGGAUUAGCUAGUUGGUGGGGUAAAGGCCUACCAAGGCGACGAUCCGUAACUGGUCUGAGAGGAUGAUCAGUCACACUGGAACUGAGACACGGUCCAGACUCCUACGGGAGGCAGCAGUGGGGAAUAUUGGACAAUGGGCGAAAGCCUGAUCCAGCCAUGCCGCGUGUGUGAAGAAGGUCUUCGGAUUGUAAAGCACUUUAAGUUGGGAGGAAGGGCAGUAAGUUAAUACCUUGCUGUUUUGACGUUACCAACAGAAUAAGCACCGGCUAACUUCGU